CGCGCUGCGCUCGGGGCCGCGUGGCCUCUCCUCGGCGGGGCGGCGUGCCCGCGCACAGCGCCGUGUUGCCGGCUGCAGGCCGGGCGCCCGUCGUCGCUUUCGUGCUCUCGGUGAUCACCUCCGUCCCCCCACGGCCUUCGGACACCGUGUGCGCAAAGCGGUCCGUGUGAUGAGGAGCGAGGCACGUUGGAGUGUGUGCUGCAGUUGCCAGAGGAGUGGUGGGAGCUCUCAAGAUGCGGGUGCCACCACAGCCGUGCAGCUGCCAGCAGGGCAGUGUGAAUGUGGAGGUGUGCUCUCUUCGUGGUACUGCAUGGCUCCAAAAUCCUACCCAGACUAACAGGGAGUAAAUAUGUUGUCGAUUACUCCUGGAUGUCCUAGAGGGACGAGAGUGGUACUGGUUUGAGUUCACUUCAGAACAGUGCACCUGUAUACAUCCCUGACCCAGCUCUCCUUUAGCUACCAAACCAGCAGCUGGGACAGCCAGGAGGAAAAUUAAGCUGUGAACUGGAAUUCCAUCAGGCUGUCUGCUGCGAAGCCCUGCGGCUUUAGCAAACAGGCAGCAGUGGUCAGAAAUGACACUCAAAAGAAAGUGGCAUGUAACUCAUAGAGGACUUCCAGCUCCUGUGAAAGAGGGAGAGGAUAUUUCUGUUCUGCAGUCUUCACAUCUAAGGAGAACUGUCUGCAUUAAUAACAAGUACCUCCACUUGGAAAUUAUUUACAUGAAACAUUGUUCUCACGUCACUGCUACUGACAGCGGCUCCGGACUGGGUGAGAGCAGGACACCGUGAUGAAUUCACCCGUACCUACCUUACUGUGCUGCGUGAGACGAGGAGAGCUCGAGGACUUCAGAGCAAGUUUAAAACCUUAAUUCCUGAAUAAUACCUCCACCUGCCUCCUGGUUUUCUUUGGGGACGUUCCAGUGCUGGCCAGACCUGACCCUAUCUGACUUCAGGGACAAUCCCAGUGUCUCAGGCUCGGAAAAAUGAGUGGAACAGUGACUGGAAAUGAAAAAGGAUGCUGCAGCCACAGUGACUGAAGUGAGAGAUGUUUGUGCUAAAAGCACUGAAGGGGCACUCAGCAAGGCUGACCACGGGUGCUGUGAAAGCACUGCCUGACCACGGUAACACCUCCAUCAGGUGCAGAGCUCCAGGAACAGGUGAGUUAAAAAAAAUAUGGCAUCACUGACAUUCAUCAAUGCUUGCUGAACACUUACGGAGAUCAACCAGUGAAUGUGGGUGCAGUGAGGCAGCGGGUGGUGUGUGUCAGCAGUAGCAACAGCGACAGCAAGUCACCUCCGCUGGUGCAGAUUUCUGCAAGCGUGGCACACAGGCUCUUGUUCAAUGCUGGUGAAAAUGCAGAACUAACGGUGGUGACCAUGUUGAAGAAUAGUGUUUGUCACUGGUAAUUUGCUCUAUCAGCUAGUGCUACUGUGCUCUUUGUAGAUCUGUCUCUACAUACAGGGAUAUAUGGAUAUAUAGAGAGACAAAUGCAUAUGUAUGUGUGUGUCACACUACAUGUCUCCGUAUAAAGAAAGACCUAUCAAUACGUCUGUAUGUUAACUUGCAGUGCGUUGCAGGAGUGAGGCGCUUGCUGUAGGGUGCGGUGCCCAGGGCUGUGGCACUGCCAUGGCUCAUAGCCUUGUGGGGCACAGCAGGUGGCAUUGGUUUACACAACAACGUGCAGGGCGGAUGGUGGGAGCCCUGCCUGCAGCACAGAGCUGCGUAUGGGAGCAGGGGGACACAGGCAGCAGGACUGUGUAUGCAGCUCAGGGCUGGCGGGUUCCCACAUCUGGUAAGGGAGGUCAAAGGAAGUCCUCAAAGUAAAUUUAAAAGUACAUUUAAAAUGUGCACAUGUAGCAGCAGCACAGUCAGCAGAGCUGUUAAGCAGGUAUGUCACAUUGAAACCGGUCUCCUGCAGGCACCAGCAGAGCUGCUGUGGUGCGGGCAUGCUCCCGGAGGCAGUCAGGUGGCAGCCAGCACCCAGAGGGACAGUACCUUCCUGUCGCUGUCACUGCUGCUUGCUCUGUGCUUACUGCACCGCUGAACCGCCUCCCUGUGUCUUAGCACUGAGAAAAAUGAAUGGGAGCUUUGCCUCCUCUGCACUAAGAUCUGAGGGCAGCAGGUGUGCUUUGCACAGCCGAACCAGCAACAGCUCGGGAUGCACAGCCCACCAUGCCUGCAGGGCCCAGGCUGGGGACACACCUGCCCUCGCCCCACUCCGUCACCAUGGUCCUGCUGUGCAGGGUGCUGGCCAUGCGCGCUUGCCCUGUGUCCUCCUGCGUCCAUUUUCCCUUUCUUUUUGCAUCAAGGCUUUGUGAUGAAAUUUUAUCCCAGUACGUUUAAAGCAGAGACAGCUGUGAGUAGCUGUUAAAUAGACACAGAGAAGACCUUGGUCCAAAAUAUGUGUGUUCAACACAGCGCUUUAGCUAUGAGUUGUUCUACGAGACCGCAAAAAUGAAGAAACCCAAACAUAUUAAUUGUUGGAAAUGGGAACACUCUCGUUGUAAAGGCAGGCAUCCUCCUGGAGGUCUCACUCACACGUCGCAGCGAUUGCUCAGCUGCUGAAGCGCCUUUAUCUCGGCACACUUAUUUGGGAGCGGUACAUCUGACACACGGUUUUGGUUUAUUAUGUAAUGCUUCAGUAAGAAGUAAAUGCAAAUUACCAAUAAUGAUCCUUAUAAUUUGAAACAUAACCAAAACCAAACUUUUUGAGCACAGAAAUGGAGAUUUUUUUGUUGUUUGUCACAUCUCACGAGUUAGUUAGUCUGAAUGUGAGACACACAUUAAGGAGUUCACGUUCAGUGUGAGCAGGCCAAACAAAGAAAUACAACAAAUCGCCCCCUGCCCCCCAUCUCAGAACGUGGCAUUAAAACCACAUGGAUUUGAAAUUCUUGUUCUUAUACUCAAAAUUGCAUUAGCAGAUUUUGACCUCAAGACUAAGGCACGUUACGUGUGUGAAGGGCCCAGCACCGCUGCUGCGAUCCACAGCACCGCUCCCGCGUAGCGCCCGAGUGAGGCCCUGCUGAUGUAAUAGCGGCCCGCAUAUGUCUCGUAUUAAUGGUAUUUUCCUAACAGUAACAGCAUUAAAGCCUGCCUACCUGGCUAUUGAGUUACCCUAUUUAGGGUAAUUUGCCCAAAAGCCUAUCCUUGAGCAUGUGAACAACCGUAUCAUUUUAUAACACUUAACUUUAAGACAUCAGAAAUCAAAGCAGGCCGACAGUCUGAUUCCAGAACUAGUCGUUUUCCAUUUUUUUUUUUUUAAAAUUCUGUUGUGUUUCUUGAAUAAUUUAUUAUCUGGAUUUUUGUUGUAUUUUCCACAUGGAAUUGAUGAAGAAAAAUUCUUUUCUUUUCUAAAGAAAGUUCGGAUGAGCGAAAAUUCACACAUGGAAAACAAAUGAGCGUCGGGAAGCACUCCUCAUAGCUAAUGGCUACUUGGUAUGGCGCCAGAAUUCAUACAGAUCCUUAAAAUCAAGUAAAUUAUGCCCGCAGUGAUAGCUCCCCUUUGCUGGAGUCCCACAACAAGCACCAAAUGGUGGAGCGGUGCAGAACUGCCAAAUUCCGUGUUUCACCUCCCGGUUCCUUUCAUUAAGCAGCCUCGUUCCCAGCAGAAGGGCCCAUGCAUUUUUUAUGGCUCUCCUCCCAGCCCCGUGUGCUGGGCCCGAUCCUGCCCAUGGCACGGGGCUCUGAGGGCAGUGCCUACCGCGGGGUCAGCGUGUCAGUGAAUGGCAGCGGUGAUGGCAAUCAGACACACGCGUCUUCGCUACGCACCCCACUGAUGGGAAUGGAAAGAAUUGGGUCUUGCAAAGGAAAUAAUCGUAAAACAAAAGCAUUAUUCUCUCGUUCCGCUCUUUUGAUAAGAUCGCUCGCUGAACUCAGGGGUUAGGAAAUGUGCCACUCGCCAUGCGCCAGAUUAAAAACUGCUGAAUUCUGUGCUAGAAAAUUCGGCUGGAUUACACAAAUAUCUGUUAAGAUGAGGAUAAAUAUUUAUAAACAAUCUUCCUUGCAGAACAUGUCUCCAUCAUUCAUUUCCCUGCGAUGAAAAAUCUGGAACAAUGGAACUAAUGACUACAUUGUUCCAAAGUUAAAUCGUAUAUCUAAUAAGGAAAAUACUAAAAUGAGCCAAAUUCUUUAUGAACACAACAGUGAAGCAAUUAAAAUAAAUGUGAUUUUCCAGAUCAAAACUUCUGGCUGUUAAUUGCUAGAUGGCACCUAUCCUAGUCAUAUGAGUUUCCCUCGCAGCUGUUUUUAUUUCACGAUACAUUCUGGGCUCCCCAGAGCCGUGUUGAGCUCGGACGUGGCGGCAGCGCGCCCGGACAGCUGUGCGGGGCUGCAGGGCUCAUGGACGCGCUGCUGGGACAGGGCUCGGGCCAGGCGUGCUCUUGCUGCUUGCCCUUUGCUUGCCCCGUGUUUCCAGUGGGCACGCAUGUGGCUUGCUGCCACACUGCGGCGUGCCCACACCAAGCACACAGUGCUGUGCCCACACAACUGCAGCGGGAGCAGAGCGUUUCGGGGGAUGUGUUUCAGUCAUACGCUUUGUCCUAAUCACGGCAGCUGGCUGAGCUCAUAACCCUACCUCUUCACUCUCGGCAUUUGACAUUUAUUUUUUUAAAUUUGUUUAUGGGUGCCUUGCACAGCAGCAGUGGGGCAGGGGGCUGCAGUCCCGGCAGCGCCAGGGCUCUUUAACCCACCCCACCCCAGAGCUGAAACUGCACACUGGAGAUCUGGCACGCUCCAACCAGCUUUACUUGAAGCUGCACUUUGGUAUCUGUAGGUUAUUAAUGAGAUUAAAGAACUCCGUUACAGGGAAUGACAACUGCAGUUUGUCCAACAUUAAGCAGAUAUUGGCAUCCUUAGGUGUGAGUUGGGAAGCAAUGAUCUCAGAUAUUGAACGAGCUAAAGCCAUGAGCAAUAUGAUAUUGAUUAGACAAUGGGUAUUGUAUUUACCCACAUAGCUUUAUUGGGUGAGGCUCAAUGUGAUGUGUUUUUAUUUGGGAAACUUAAGGAAGAUAAUUAAAAAUGCUGUAAGGAGAGCCCAGCAGCCUUUGUGCUUUGCUUUUUAAAGGCUACAGAUGUCCUGUCUUCUUUCUUUAAAACGGCAUGCGCUCCCUCUCCACCUUCCAAAAGAUCAAGGGUAAUAAUAACAACAAUAAUAAUACAGUGUCCUGGAAUUUUUCUACAUGCCUCAAGAGAACUUUAAUUUUUUCCAGAAACUGUUUUCUGACAACAGCCGUCUUGUGGACUUUUCCUGUUCCCCAGUCUGCAUUUCCAGUGCUGCUGCGGCCAAGUUAAAAUGGUGUCUUUUGGAUACAGGGCCUUUUAUGUAGAAAACCCUUCUUGUGUUGAACAAAACCAUGCUGAUGAAAGGAAGGAGCAGCACAGCACAGAGACACAGGGGUGCAGGGAGCAGCUUUCCCCACUACGGAGCAGGGAAGGAGGGAGGUGA
Numida meleagris (helmeted guineafowl) is the source of this 5442-nucleotide long non-coding RNA. RefSeq lists it as uncharacterized. The record is from RefSeq and is a predicted model, not a curated record. NCBI's taxonomy places the organism in Eukaryota, Metazoa, Chordata, Aves, Galliformes, Numididae. The transcript is spliced from 9 exons.